UACGGAGGGUGCGAGCGUUAAUCGGAAUUACUGGGCGUAAAGCGUACGCAGGCGGCUGAGUAAGCCAGAUGUGAAAUCCCCGGGCUUAACCUGGGAAUGGCAUUUGGAACUGUUCAGCUAGAGUUUUGUAGAGGGUGGUAGAAUUUCAGGUGUAGCGGUGAAAUGCGUAGAGAUCUGAAGGAAUACCAGUGGCGAAGGCGGCCACCUGGACAAGAACUGACGCUCAUGUACGAAAGCGUGGGGAGCAAACAGG
This 253-nucleotide ribosomal RNA is filed under the name uncultured bacterium. RNAcentral's name for it is "partial 16S ribosomal RNA". It matches the Rfam family "Bacterial small subunit ribosomal RNA", at positions 524 to 776 of the family's 1533-position model. The record is from RNAcentral.